GAGUGUAUAGCUCAGUGGUAGAGUGCAUGCCUAGCAUGCAUGAGGUCCUGGGUUCAAUCCCCAGUACCUCCA
RNAcentral lists this transfer RNA (72 nucleotides) under Camelus bactrianus (Bactrian camel). It matches the Rfam family "tRNA". From Rfam's summary of the family: Transfer RNA (tRNA) molecules are approximately 80 nucleotides in length. Their secondary structure includes four short double-helical elements and three loops (D, anti-codon, and T loops). Lineage: Eukaryota; Metazoa; Chordata; Mammalia; Artiodactyla; Camelidae. The record is from Rfam by way of RNAcentral. RNAcentral also lists the same sequence under 2 other names.